AAGUCGUAACAAGGUAACCGUAGGUGAACCUGCGGUUGGAUCAUUAAAAAGCGAACCGUCCUUCGGGAUGGUCACGCAAGAGAGACGUUGGAGUUUGGCGUGUUGCUGGUGCGCGUCUAUAAAUAAGUGUAGGGAGGGUGAAUACCACGAGCAACACAAACCGCUGUCAAGCCUCGCAGGGCUCUGCUGCAAGCGCGCCGUUGUCUUCGGACCGGGCGCUCGCAGAACCUGCGGGGUGCGACGGCACCGCGUUCUGUCUAUACAUAUCAUUGUCUGACCAUACCCAGUCUUCUUUGCAAGACUUCAACAGAAAACAACCCAUGACAACGGAUCUCUUGGCUCUU
This 344-nucleotide unclassified non-coding RNA is filed under the name fungal sp. RNAcentral describes it as "partial internal transcribed spacer region". The stretch from base 1 to 46 matches the Rfam family "Eukaryotic small subunit ribosomal RNA", at positions 1786 to 1831 of the family's 1831-position model. The record is from RNAcentral. Lineage: Eukaryota; Fungi.